UGGGGAAUUUUCCGCAAUGGGCGCAAGCCUGACGGAGCAAUACCGCGUGAGGGAGGAAGGCUUUUGGGUUGUAAACCUCUUUUCUCAAGGAAGAACAAAAUGACGGUACUUGAGGAAUCAGCAUCGGCUAACUCCGUGCCAGCAGCCGCGGUAAUACGGAGGAUGCAAGCGUUAUCCGGAAUUAUUGGGCGUAAAGCGUCCGCAGGUGGUUAUUCAAGUCUGCUGUCAAAGACCACAGCUUAACUGUGGGCAGGCAGUGGAAACUGGGUAACUAGAGUACGGUAGGGGUAGAGGGGAUUUCCAGUGUAGCGGUGAAAUGCGUAGAGAUUGGAAAGAACACCAGUGGCGAAGGCGCUCUACUGGGCCGUUACUGACACUCAGGGACGAAAGCUAGGGGAGCGAAAGGGAUUAGAUACCCCCGUAGUCC
RNAcentral lists this ribosomal RNA (427 nucleotides) under uncultured prokaryote. RNAcentral's name for it is "bacterial SSU rRNA". It matches the Rfam family "Bacterial small subunit ribosomal RNA", at positions 355 to 796 of the family's 1533-position model. The record is from RNAcentral.